UUGCUUCUCUGAUGUUAGCGGCGGACGGGUGAGUAACACGUGGAUAACCUACCUAUAAGACUGGGAUAACUUCGGGAAACCGGAGCUAAUACCGGAUAAUAUUUUGAACCGCAUGGUUCAAAAGUGAAAGACGGUCUUGCUGUCACUUAUAGAUGGAUCCGCGCUGCAUUAGCUAGUUGGUAAGGUAACGGCUUACCAAGGCAACGAUGCAUAGCCGACCUGAGAGGGUGAUCGGCCACACUGGAACUGAGACACGGUCCAGACUCCUACGGGAGGCAGCAGUAGGGAAUCUUCCGCAAUGGGCGAAAGCCUGACGGAGCAACGCCGCGUGAGUGAUGAAGGUCUUCGGAUCGUAAAACUCUGUUAUUAGGGAAGAACAUAUGUGUAAGUAACUGUGCACAUCUUGACGGUACCUAAUCAGAAAGCCACGGCUAACUACGUGCCAGCAGCCGCGGUAAUACGUAGGUGGCAAGCGUUAUCCGGAAUUAUUGGGCGUAAAGCGCGCGUAGGCGGUUUUUUAAGUCUGAUGUGAAAGCCCACGGCUCAACCGUGGAGGGUCAUUGGAAACUGGAAAACUUGAGUGCAGAAGAGGAAAGUGGAAUUCCAUGUGUAGCGGUGAAAUGCGCAGAGAUAUGGAGGAACACCAGUGGCGAAGGCGACUUUCUGGUCUGUAACUGACGCUGAUGUGCGAAAGCGUAGGGAUCAAACAGGAUUAGAUAC
RNAcentral lists this ribosomal RNA (720 nucleotides) under uncultured Staphylococcus sp. RNAcentral describes it as "bacterial SSU rRNA". It matches the Rfam family "Bacterial small subunit ribosomal RNA", at positions 78 to 785 of the family's 1533-position model. Lineage: Bacteria; Bacillati; Bacillota; Bacilli; Caryophanales; Staphylococcaceae. The record is from RNAcentral.